ACUUUCGAAAUUUUUAAAUCCAUUACUCAAGCUCUCGAGUUCAUUUUGUUUUAUGAUUUUCAUUCAGGCUUGCACAAACAUGUUUCAACAAUUGCGUUGACAAAAGGUACAAGGAAGCUGAGCUAAACAUGGGUGAAAAUAGUUGCAUUGACCGCUGUGUUUCAAAAUAU
Long non-coding RNA from Hibiscus syriacus, 170 nucleotides. RefSeq lists it as uncharacterized. The transcript has 3 exons. The record is from RefSeq and is a predicted model, not a curated record. NCBI's taxonomy places the organism in Eukaryota, Viridiplantae, Streptophyta, Magnoliopsida, Malvales, Malvaceae.